This 301-nucleotide ribosomal RNA is filed under the name uncultured bacterium. RNAcentral describes it as "partial 16S ribosomal RNA". It matches the Rfam family "Bacterial small subunit ribosomal RNA", at positions 509 to 807 of the family's 1533-position model. The record is from RNAcentral.
CAGCAGCCGCGGUAAAACGGAGGAUCCAAGCGUUAUCCGGAAUCAUUGGGUUUAAAGGGUCCGUAGGCGGUCUUGUAAGUCAGUGGUGAAAGCCCAUCGCUCAACGGUGGAACGGCCAUUGAUACUGCAGGACUUGAAUUAUUGGGAAGUAACUAGAAUAUGUAGUGUAGCGGUGAAAUGCUUAGAGAUUACAUGGAAUACCAAUUGCGAAGGCAGGUUACUACCAAUUGAUUGACGCUGAUGGACGAAAGCGUGGGUAGCGAACAGGAUUAGAUACCCGCGUAGUCCCUGUCUCUUAUAC